CGAAUUACAAUUUUUUUUAAAACAUACGAAAUAUUUAAGCGACCAACUGAUUGGUCGCCAAAUUUUCAAAUUUAAUUUUUUUUAAUCAGGCGACCAAUCCAGUUGGUCGCAUUGUUUUAUUUAUAUAUUUUUUAUUUAGGUGAUUGAUAUGUGUUGGGUGGAAUUUGACACCAUAACAGGGGACGUUGAUGCCAUCUUGGAAAAUGCUCGAGCAACCCUAAUUUCUGAAUUGGGGGAGGGCGAUGGGUCACAGCCGUUGAACCGGUCGAACAGCCCCAGGCCGAGAAGGAAGAAAAACACACCAG
Molecule: long non-coding RNA, 305 nt
Filed under: Zostera marina
Lineage: Eukaryota; Viridiplantae; Streptophyta; Magnoliopsida; Alismatales; Zosteraceae
Description: long non-coding RNA (ZMAR_LNC002593)
Source: RNAcentral